This 468-nucleotide ribosomal RNA is filed under the name uncultured bacterium. RNAcentral describes it as "partial 16S ribosomal RNA". It matches the Rfam family "Bacterial small subunit ribosomal RNA", at positions 28 to 507 of the family's 1533-position model. The record is from RNAcentral.
GACGAACGCUGGCGGCGUGCUUAACACAUGCAAGUCGAACGGAAAGGCCCUGCUUUUGUGGGGUGCUCGAGUGGCGAACGGGUGAGUAACACGUGAGUAACCUGCCCUUGACUUUGGGAUAACUUCAGGAAACUGGGGCUAAUACCGGAUAGGAGCUCCUGCUGCAUGGUGGGGGUUGGAAAGUUUCGGCGGUUGGGGAUGGACUCGCGGCUUAUCAGCUUGUUGGUGGGGUAGUGGCUUACCAAGGCUUUGACGGGUAGCCGGCCUGAGAGGGUGACCGGCCACAUUGGGACUGAGAGAGGGCCCAGACUCCUACGGGAGGCAGCAGUGGCGAAUAUUGCACAAUGGGCGGAAGCCUGAUGCAGCAACGCCGCGUGCGGGAUGACGGCCUUCGGGUUGUAAACCGCUUUCGCCUGUGACGAAGCGUGAGUGACGGUAAUGGGUAAAGAAGCACCGGCUAACUACGUG